UCUCAAAUGAGUCUACUCCCUC
This 22-nucleotide non-coding RNA is filed under the name Arabidopsis thaliana (thale cress). Lineage: Eukaryota; Viridiplantae; Streptophyta; Magnoliopsida; Brassicales; Brassicaceae. The record is from RNAcentral.